GAUGAACGCUGGCGGCGUGCCUAAUACAUGCAAGUCGAGCGAACAGACGAGGAGCUUGCUCCUCUGACGUUAGCGGCGGACGGGUGAGUAACACGUGGAUAACCUACCUAUAAGACUGGGAUAACUUCGGGAAACCGGAGCUAAUACCGGAUAAUAUAUUGAACCGCAUGGUUCAAUAGUGAAAGACGGUUUUGCUGUCACUUAUAGAUGGAUCCGCGCCGCAUUAGCUAGUUGGUAAGGUAACGGCUUACCAAGGCAACGAUGCGUAGCCGACCUGAGAGGGUGAACGGCCACACUGGAACUGAGACACGGUCCAGACUCCUACGGGAGGCAGCAGUAGGGAAGCUUCCGCAAUGGGCGAAAUCCUGACGGAGCAACGCCGCGUGAGUGAUGAAGGUCUUCGGAUCGUAAAACUCUGUUAUUAUGGAAGAACAAAUGUGUAAGUAACUAUGCACGUCUUGACGGUACCUAAUCAGAAAGCCACGGCUAACUACGUG
Molecule: ribosomal RNA, 497 nt
Filed under: uncultured bacterium
Lineage: Bacteria
Description: partial 16S ribosomal RNA
Rfam family: Bacterial small subunit ribosomal RNA
Source: RNAcentral